This 230-nucleotide unclassified non-coding RNA is filed under the name Hevea brasiliensis (rubber tree). Lineage: Eukaryota; Viridiplantae; Streptophyta; Magnoliopsida; Malpighiales; Euphorbiaceae. The record is from RNAcentral.
GAUCUCGAGAAGAAAAUGAAGUUAGCAGGUUAUGUACCUGAUCUCGACUCUUCAUUACACGACGUAGGAGAGGAACAGAAAGAGCAGCUACUUCUGUGGCACAGUGAGAAGUUAGCCAUUGCCUUUGGUUUAAUGAAAUUGCCACCAGAAAUGCCAAUUAGGAUAUUCAAGAACCUCAGAAUUUGUGGUGAUUGCCACCAAGCCACUAAAGUUAUAUCAGCAAUAGAAAC